RNAcentral lists this ribosomal RNA (440 nucleotides) under uncultured bacterium. Its description in RNAcentral is "partial 16S ribosomal RNA". It matches the Rfam family "Bacterial small subunit ribosomal RNA", at positions 338 to 795 of the family's 1533-position model. The record is from RNAcentral.
CCUACGUGCGGCAGCAGUGGGGGAUAUUGCACAAUGGGGGAAACCCUGAUGCAGCGACGCCGCGUGUGGGAAGACGGUCCUCUGGAUUGUAAACCACUGUCCCCAGGGACGAAGAUGACGGUACCUGGGGAGGAAGCUCCGGCUAACUACGUGCCAGCAGCCGCGGUAAUACGUAGGGAGCGAGCGUUGUCCGGAAUUACUGGGUGUAACGGGAGCGUAGGCGGGACUGCAAGUUGGGUGUCAAAUCUACCGGCUCAACCGGUAGCCGCACUCAAAACUGCAGUUCUUGAGUGAAGUAGAGGCAGGCGGAAUUCCUAGUGUAGCGGUGAAAUGCGUAGAUAUUAGGAGGAACACCAGUGGCGAAGGCGGCCUGCUGGGCUUUUACUGACGCUGAGGCUCGAAAGUGUGGGGAGCAAACAGGAUUAGAUACCCCAGUAGUC